Molecule: long non-coding RNA, 428 nt
Organism: Daucus carota subsp. sativus
Lineage: Eukaryota; Viridiplantae; Streptophyta; Magnoliopsida; Apiales; Apiaceae
Exons: 2
Source: RefSeq, a predicted model, not a curated record
UUGAUGAAACUAUAUACUAGUUAUGAUUUAUUUACUGCAUGUGUUAAUAAAAAUAUCUAACUGAGCAGCAUUUUCCAGUUGAGGAAAUAAAACAUUUUUGUCAUUGUACCCUUGCUUUUAGGUCUCUGAUGCCAUAGGAGCUGUACGGUCGUCGGCCGGUAUUGAUAAUUUAUAUUCCCUGAUUUAAAGGAAUUGGUUGAGUUCAAAGCCGUCCUGAAUCGCAACAAUGCAUAAAACCCUGUCAGUGGAGAACCAACCACAUCGGCAAAGGGAUAACCCAUUUGAAAAAUAGAUUGUUGGUACACUUUUUUUCACACCCUCAACCUCUUGAUAACUUUCAAAGGACACAGAAGUAACCGCUAGGCCAAAGCCGUUUGCUUAUGUUGGCUGAGGCUUGAGAGUAAGUGGAAAUUUUUUAGGUUCUGGAA